This is a long non-coding RNA of Triticum dicoccoides, 266 nucleotides long. RefSeq lists it as uncharacterized. The transcript is spliced from 3 exons. The record is from RefSeq and is a predicted model, not a curated record. NCBI's taxonomy places the organism in Eukaryota, Viridiplantae, Streptophyta, Magnoliopsida, Poales, Poaceae.
GGGUGUUCGGCGCCUGGAGGAGCUUUCAUGUUCAAGGAUCUGGCCCUCGCCGUCGAGACCAACGGGUCGUCGCCGAGUACAUCUGGAUGACAUGAAGCAUUUGGCACCGACGCUCACCUCUUUGACAAGCCAUGCUUUCUGGGUUUGCUUGCAGUUCAGGAUAGGUAUGAGUUGAGGAAGCGGUUUUUAUUAUACUUGCUAAAACAUCGUGGGAAUGAAGCUAAAGGCAACUUUCCUGACAUUGUGAAAGAAUUUCUUAAGCACAU